CCGUGCCUACGGGAGGCAGCAGUGGGGAAUAUUGGGCAAUGGGCGCAAGCCUGACCCAGCGACGCCGCGUGAGGGAAGACGGUCUUCGGAUUGUAAACCUCUUUCAGCAGGGAAGACAAAAGGACGGUACCUGCAGAAGAAGCCACGGCUAACUACGUGCCAGCAGCCGCGGUAAUACGUAGGUGGCAAGCGUUAUCCGGAUUUACUGGGUGUAAAGGGCGUGUAGGCGGGACUGCAAGUCAGAUGUGAAAAUUAUGGGCUCAACCCAUAACCUGCAUUUGAAACUGUAGUUCUUGAGUUGUGGG
This 305-nucleotide ribosomal RNA is filed under the name uncultured bacterium. Its description in RNAcentral is "bacterial SSU rRNA". It matches the Rfam family "Bacterial small subunit ribosomal RNA", at positions 333 to 653 of the family's 1533-position model. The record is from RNAcentral.